UACGAACUGUGCAAACGUUAUUCGGAUUCACUGGCUUAAAGGGUGCGUAGGCGGCCAUGUAAGUAGGGUGUGAAAUCCCCCGGCUUAACCUGGGAACUGACAUCUGUGACUGCAUAGCUAGAGUACGGUAGAGGGGGAUGGAAAUUCCGCGUGUAGCAGUGAAAUGCGUAGAUAUGCGGAGGAACACCGAUGCGAAGGCA
Molecule: ribosomal RNA, 200 nt
Filed under: uncultured bacterium
Lineage: Bacteria
Description: partial 16S ribosomal RNA
Rfam family: Bacterial small subunit ribosomal RNA
Source: RNAcentral